RNAcentral lists this ribosomal RNA (492 nucleotides) under uncultured bacterium. RNAcentral describes it as "partial 16S ribosomal RNA". It matches the Rfam family "Bacterial small subunit ribosomal RNA", at positions 30 to 507 of the family's 1533-position model. The record is from RNAcentral.
AGUGAACGCUGGCGGUAGGCCUAACACAUGCAAGUCGAACGGCAGCGCAGUAAGAGCUUGCUCUUACGGGUGGCGAGUGGCGGACGGGUGAGGAAUACAUCGGAAUCUACUUUUUCGUGGGGGAUAACGUAGGGAAACUUACGCUAAUACCGCAUCCGACCUACGGGUGAAAGCAGGGGAUCUUCGGACCUUGCGCGAUUUAUUGAGCCGAGGUCGGAUUAGCUAGUUGGUGGGGUAAAGGCCCACCAAGGCGACGAUCCGUAGCGGGUCUGAGUGGAUGAUCGGCAAAACGGGAAGGGGAACAGGGUCAGGACGCUAAGGGGAGGAAGAAGGGGGGAAAAUUGGAAAAGGGGGGCAAGCCGGAUCCAGAAAGACGGCGGGGGGGAAGAAGGCGUUGGGGUGGUAAAGCCCUUUUGUUGGGAAAAAAAAGCAGCAGGUGAAUAACCCGCUGUUCUGACGGUACCCAAAGAAUAAGCACCGGCUAACUUCGUG